Molecule: ribosomal RNA, 418 nt
Filed under: Microcerotermes sp. MG2
Lineage: Eukaryota; Metazoa; Arthropoda; Insecta; Blattodea; Termitidae
Description: partial 12S ribosomal RNA
Source: RNAcentral
CCCUAUUAUUUUAGAGUGUUAAUUGUUUAUGUGCCUGAGUAGUAUUAGUUAUGUUCUUGAAACUUAAAGAAUUUGGCGGUAUCUCAUUCCGUCCAGAGGAAUCUGUCUCGUUAUCGAUAGUCCACGUUGGACCUUACUUGGAUUGCUUAUGGGUUUGUAUACCGCCGUUUAUUGAUUAUCUUUUUAGGGUUUUCUUAAUUUUCUGGUUUCUUUAUUUUGAUUUAUUUCAGGUCAAGGUGCAGCUUAUUUCUAAGUGAAUGAUGGAUUACAUUGUUAUUUGUUUUGUGGAUUAUUAAUUUUAAUAUUGGUAUGAAAUUGGAUUUGGUUGUAAUAAUUUGUAGAUUGUUAUUGUGAUAAAUGGUUCUGGGAUAUGCACACAUCGCCCGUCGCUCUCGUUUUGUUGUUAAUGAGAUAAGUC